AUUCCCCUAGUAACUGCGAGUGAACCGGGAAAAGCUCAAAUUUUGAAUCUGGCGGUCUUUACGGUCGUCCGAGUUGUAAUCUAGAGAAGCGUCUUCCGCGCUGGACCGUGUAUAAGUUUCCUGGAAUGGAACGUCGUAGAGGGUGACAAUCCCGUCUUUGACACGGACUCCCAGGGCUAUGUGAUGCGCUCUCGACGAGUCGAGUUGUUUGGGAAUGCAGCUCAAAUAGGGUGGUAAAUUCCAUCUAAAGCUAAAUACAGGCGAGAGACCGAUAGCGAACAAGUACCGUGAGGGAAAGAUGAAAAGAACUUUGGAAAGAGAGUUAAACAGUACGUGAAAUUGCUGAAAGGGAAACGCUUGAUGUCAGUCGCGUCGGCCGGGGAUCAGCCUUGCUCUUUUGCUCGGCGUACUUCCUGGUCGACGGGUCAGCAUCGGUUUCGAUCGUCGGAGAAUGGCUCGAGGAAUGUGGCACUCUUCGGAGUGUGUUAUAGACUCGGGUCGAAUACGACGCUUGGGACCGAGGAACUCAGCACGACCUUCACCGGUUCGGAGCUUCGGCUCACGUUAACGUGCUUAGGAUGCUGGCAUAAUGGCCUUAAGCGACCCGUCUUGAAACACGGACCAAGGAGUCUAACUCGCGUGCGAGUGUUUGGGCGAUUAAAACCCGAGCGCGUAAUGAAAGUGAAAGUCGAGACCUCUGUCGUG
RNAcentral lists this ribosomal RNA (705 nucleotides) under Suillus salmonicolor. Its description in RNAcentral is "LSU rRNA". It matches the Rfam family "Eukaryotic large subunit ribosomal RNA", at positions 74 to 751 of the family's 3401-position model. Lineage: Eukaryota; Fungi; Basidiomycota; Agaricomycetes; Boletales; Suillaceae. The record is from RNAcentral.